CAAGGCGAGGGAAUCAAAGUAUGUUUUGAUUAUAGUUUUUACUUAGCAAGCAUUUAAUUAUACAGAGCUGCCUGCCUCGACGAUCGCAGGCCUCUGGCAGUCGAUGAGCCAUUACGGAGUGGCUUGAGCCAUUUUGUCAGAUCGAUUCUCGCUCCGAAAGCUGGUGGCAGCUGAUCAGAUCGAUGCUGCCUCAUUCCUCGGGGAGACUCGUACACAAACUCCAGUCAAUGCCUACGAGUAUGUCUCAAUUUUAGAGCUAUACACGUAUGACACGCUGCCAGAAGUGGCAAAUCAACGCUCCAGUGGCGACCCACAUUGGCCAUCGCAUCGCAUCGCACCGACAGCUCGUCAUCUCGAUGAUGUUCGGGGAUCGUGAAGAAGCAAAGCGAAAUGAAGACAGAGAGACCCAUCAUCGAUACCCUCCUUAGCAUUAGCACGGUUUCAGCACAUUCGCAGCAGCCCCAUCUCCAGCUCCAUCUCCAUCUCGAUCUGGCAACUGGCAUUUGGCAUCGAUAACUUAAUUCCAUCCAUGGCUGUGCAACGCGAUGCUUCUAACCCAAUUCACGGGCCAUGCAAAGUUUUUCUGGCAUCUGAUUGAACCGACCGAGUGCUGGAACUGGAUGUGGAUGUGGAUCUGGAUCUGGAUCUACUCUCCCCUGGCUGCUGCCACAUACAUUCGAGGUUUAGCCCGUUCACGAGGCUGCCUCUCUGCUCUGACAUUUGUCAGCUGCCAGUUGACGGAACUUUUGGCCCGGAGUCAAACCACCCAUAUGGUAGCCGAGUGCUGCUCCAUCUCUGUCGACUCUCAGGUGACCCUAAUUACCUCCAAAGCAUGCAUGCAUUAGAGACGAGACGAGACAAAGCGCCGGGUAUUAUACUCGCACGUAUGGACCGGAGUUAUUAAUGUCCAACGAAAGCCCAGUUGACACCAACUUUCAGCAGGCCAAAUAUUAACAGUGUGCAGCAUAUAAAAGCACCGAAUUGAAGGAGAUCGAAGGUCCGAGUGUCCCUGAAAAUAAACAUCUUUAGAUGGACAGAUAGAUGGAAGUGGCAUUUACAGUAUUCCCUUUAGUCACCCUCCCAUUAGAACAGAUUGGGCUGAAUAUUCAAUAUGUCGUGCCAAUACCAAACUGCAAUUUGUACUUGUUUAGGUUGGACAGUGUUAAUAACAAGACUGUGCAUGUAUGUGGCUCUUUCGAGCCGCUAGAUGAGUGAUCGCGAAGCAA
RNAcentral lists this small RNA (1226 nucleotides) under Drosophila pseudoobscura pseudoobscura. RNAcentral describes it as "GA32546". Lineage: Eukaryota; Metazoa; Arthropoda; Insecta; Diptera; Drosophilidae. The record is from RNAcentral.